Molecule: ribosomal RNA, 442 nt
Filed under: uncultured Sphingomonadaceae bacterium
Lineage: Bacteria; Pseudomonadati; Pseudomonadota; Alphaproteobacteria; Sphingomonadales; Sphingomonadaceae
Description: bacterial SSU rRNA
Rfam family: Bacterial small subunit ribosomal RNA
Source: RNAcentral
UCCCUACGGGGGGCAGCAGUGGGGAAUAUUGGACAAUGGGCGAAAGCCUGAUCCAGCAAUGCCGCGUGAGUGAUGAAGGCCCUAGGGUUGUAAAGCUCUUUUACCCGGGAUGAUAAUGACAAUACCGGGAGAAUAAGCUCCGGCUAACUCCGUGCCAGCAGCCGCGGUAAUACGGAGGGAGCUAGCGUUGUUCGGAAUUACUGGGCGUAAAGCGCACGUAGGCGGCUUUGUAAGUUAGGGGUGAAAGCCCGGAGAUCAACACCGGAAUUGCCUUUAAGAGUGCAUCGCUUGAAUCAAGGAGAGGUGAGUGGAAUUCCGAGUGUAGAGGUGAAAUUCGUAGAUAUUCGGAAGAACACCAGUGGCGAAGGCGGCUCACUGGACUGGUAUUGACGCUGAGGUGCGAAAGCGUGGGGAGCAAACAGGAUUAGAUACCCAUGUAGUC